UGGGGAAUAUUGCACAAUGGGCGCAAGCCUGAUGCAGCAACGCCGCGUGAGGGAUGACGGCCUUCGGGUUGUAAACCUCUUUUAGUAGGGAAGAAGCGAAAGUGACGGUACCUGCAGAAAAAAGCACCGGCUAACUACGUGCCAGCAGCCGCGGUAAUACGUAGGGUGCGAGCGUUGUCCGGAAUUAUUGGGCGUAAAAGAGCUCGUAGGCGGUCUGUCGCGUCUGCUGUGAAAAACCCGAGGCUCAACCUCGGGCCUGCAGUGGGUACGGGCAGACUAGAGUGCGGUAGGGGAGAAAUGGAAUUCCUGGUGUAGCGGUGGAAAUGCGCAGAUAUCAGGAGGAACACCGAUGGCGAAGGCAGUUCUCUGGGCCGUAAACUGACGCUGAGGAGCGAAAAGCGUGGGGAGCGAAACAGGAUUAGAUACCCUGGUAGUCCACGCCGUAAAACGUUGGGCGCUAGAUGUGGGGACCAUUCCACGGUUUCCGUGUCGCAGCUAACGCAUUAAGCGCCCCGCCUGGGGAGUACGGCCGCAAGGC
RNAcentral lists this ribosomal RNA (538 nucleotides) under uncultured bacterium. Its description in RNAcentral is "partial 16S ribosomal RNA". It matches the Rfam family "Bacterial small subunit ribosomal RNA", at positions 355 to 894 of the family's 1533-position model. The record is from RNAcentral.